Long non-coding RNA from Branchiostoma floridae (Florida lancelet), 1349 nucleotides. RefSeq lists it as uncharacterized. Lineage: Eukaryota; Metazoa; Chordata; Leptocardii; Amphioxiformes; Branchiostomatidae. The record is from RefSeq and is a predicted model, not a curated record. The transcript is spliced from 3 exons.
GUCGGACGAUUUGAACACGCUUGUCCCUAGUUUCAUCUUGCUGGCCAAGCCACCACGUAUACGCCCCGUCGGCGGAAACCGCUUCCCGUUCAGCGGAGCCAGCGCGCUAAGAUCCCGUAAACGUCGGCCCGUCCCCGGAGCUAGUCAGCCAGGUCUCCGUCGGAUCAUUCUUCGGUACCGGUCAAUCACGUCCCCGUUCCGGUGUCUCCCUACAGAGCCCUUGCGAGGCCCCCAAUAUAGGACACAACUUUCGCGGUCUCAAGCCGGAUUUCCUCCGAACUUGUUCGUACAUACCCGGCGGCAUUGCUUGGACAGUGCUUUGACAACGUACUCCCAGACCGUUGACUUCCUGACCCUUCUUGACCCGUCUUCAGCUUAGAGAGGCGAACAUCCGGUCAACACCGAUCAACUAGCCGAACCUUUCUUCAGUGACCGAACUCAACUCCACGCCCCGGACAGAAAUGUUCCAGUCAACAUGACGACGACCUUUGACUGUUUCAAAAGAAACAUGGACUGGUUCGACUGACAUGGACUUGCAAAAUGGAGACAAAUGGCCGGAUGCUGAGGAUUCGAGUAACUAAUCGCCUAUGAGAUUAUGUAUGAAUUUCUCAUCAGACUAACCAUACAGGACAAGACCGACAACGACGAGAUGUACCUGACGAAACAGUUCCGUCACAAAGUCAGUCGAGUCCUUCCACUGCAAGUCGCUGAGACGAGCAGUAUCGCUUGAGGAGCCGGAAUAGACGUCUAUGCACCAUUUAAAGUCGGGAAGGAGCUACACAUCACCCAGAACCGCACCGUCCACAGAAGGAAGACAACGAGAGGGCCUAAGGAAUGCCAGAACAGUAGCAGAUCUGGAGCAGCAAAUCGAUUUCACUGCCACAACCACAGAAAACCUAAAACUAGUUAGACAAUUCACGGGCUGGUUUUGGCUGAUUUAUACCAUGAAUAUGUACAUGUAUAUAGCGACGACGGACCUAAUCAAACCGGAGGUGUAUGUACUAAUGAAGAAAACCAACAUAAGAAUAUGCAGAAGUGGCCAUCGCUGGGAGGAGCCAGAAUAUACAUUUGUGCGGCUUGAAAAUUCUGAACAGAGGGGAGCCACACAACAUCCAGAACAGCGCCAUCUACAGAAGGAGGGCAACAUGAGGGAAGUAGAGGCCAGUAGCAGAGCCAAGACGUACAGCCGAUAGAUUGCGAUCAUACUUGUACAUGUAUAGAUAACCUGACAUGACACCAGUAAUAGAAUUCACUGAUUGACUGAUUGAUUGACUGUUUAUAUCACGAAUAUGUAUUUUAGUGUAUACAUUGUAGUAGUUGAUUUUAUAUGUAUAUGAAUGGACCGUAGA